UAAUCGAUAAUCCGCGAAGUAUCUUACUUAUUUAAAAAUUUUGUAUACCGUUAUUAGUAGAUAAUUUUUAAAGAAUAAAAUAUUAAAAUUUCUCUAGAAAAUAUAUUAGAUCAAGGUGCAGAACAUAAAUAAGAAAAAAUGAAUUACAGUAAAUCUGGUUUAAAUGAAUAAUUACGUGAAACAGAAGUUUGAAGGUGGACUUAGUUGUAACUACUUUAUAAUAUGGGGUAGUGGAAAAAAUACUAAAACAUGUACAUAUCGCCCGUCGCUCGCGGGAAA
RNAcentral lists this ribosomal RNA (279 nucleotides) under Allopetrolisthes spinifrons. Its description in RNAcentral is "partial 12S ribosomal RNA". The record is from RNAcentral. Lineage: Eukaryota; Metazoa; Arthropoda; Malacostraca; Decapoda; Porcellanidae.